This 207-nucleotide ribosomal RNA is filed under the name uncultured bacterium. RNAcentral's name for it is "partial 16S ribosomal RNA". It matches the Rfam family "Bacterial small subunit ribosomal RNA", at positions 568 to 774 of the family's 1533-position model. The record is from RNAcentral.
CGCGUAGGCGGUCUGUUAAGUUCGGUGUGAAAGCCCCGGCCUCACCUGGGGGACGUGCGCCGGAACCGACAGACUCGAGUACCGGAGAGGAGGGUGGAAUUCCUGGUGUAGCGGUGAAAUGCGUAGAUAUGUGGAGGAACACCAGUGGCGAAGGCGAUUUUCUAGCUUAGACCUGACGCUGAGGCGCGAAAGCAAGGGGAGCAAACA